GUUCACUUAUGUAAGUAUCAUCAUUGUUGUCCCCUAAUAAUUAAAUAGAAUAUAGAUGGUGUCGUAAAUAUCUAAAAAGAUUAUUCAUUUUGUAGAAAAAACUUUUUUCUUGGUAUUGGUGGUUGUAUGUAGAGUGCAUAGCUUGCCUAGAACAAGCAUUGAAUUUGUUCAUUCAAAUUGGGAGGCUGAGCAUGUCUUCAUAUUGUAACGCUGAGUUAUAUGACGAGGGGAGAACAUCAAGCAUGCCAUCUCUUACUAAAAGAAAGCAGUUGAUCCUUUCCAAGGUGAAGAAGUAAGAACUUCUACAAAUCAAUGCAUGCAAAAAAUUGCACAAGUUCCAACUCAGCUCAUAUAGAGUCAAGUUGGAAGUCCAAAAGAUAACAUUAUGCCGAGAGUCAUGUUCUUUCUUCAAGUAUUGAUGUGGAAUAAUUAGGGUUGUUUCAGCCAAGACUCAAGUUGAAUGUCCAGAAGAUGCCAAUGCCGAGAGACAUGUUCUUUCUUCAAGUUGUUGUUGAUAGAGAAUACGGUACCAAGCUUCUAUCAUUCCAAGAACUAUCUUCACAUGAUAGAGGAGGCACAAGUUGAGUAAUUGUAGUAGAUAACAUGAAGGUUUUGUUUAUAUCUCUGCAAAAUAUGCUUAAAUUUUAUUUUAUUUUUUGACCAUAUUGGUUUUUUCCGAUAGACAAAGAAUACAACUAGCUGUAUAUGUCCUUAUUUAUUAUCACAUUUAUGUAAUUAAGAUGUAUAGGUGUUAAUCGAUAAGAGCCAGUUAUUUUA
Long non-coding RNA from Erigeron canadensis, 777 nucleotides. RefSeq lists it as uncharacterized. The transcript is spliced from 4 exons. Lineage: Eukaryota; Viridiplantae; Streptophyta; Magnoliopsida; Asterales; Asteraceae. The record is from RefSeq and is a predicted model, not a curated record.